Molecule: ribosomal RNA, 253 nt
Filed under: uncultured bacterium
Lineage: Bacteria
Description: partial 16S ribosomal RNA
Rfam family: Bacterial small subunit ribosomal RNA
Source: RNAcentral
UACAGAGGGUGCGAGCGUUGUCCGGAAUCACUGGGCGUAAAGGGCGCGUAGGUGGUGACCUAAGCGUGCGGUGAAAGCCCGAGGCUCAACCUCGGGUCGGCCGUGCGAACUGGGUCACUGGAGCAGAAUAGAGGCAGGUGGAAUUCCGGGUGUAGCGGUGGAAUGCGUAGAGAUCCGGGAGAACACCGGUGGCGAAGGCGGCCUGCUGGGUUCUGGCUGACACUGAGGCGCGACAGCGUGGGGAGCAAACAGG